UACGUAGGGAGCAAGCGUUGUCCGGAAUCAUUGGGCGUAAAGCGCGCGUAGGUGGCCACAUAAGUCCGUUGUGAAAGUCAAAGGCUCAACCUUUGAAAGCCGAUGGAUACUGUGUGGCUAGAGUACGGAAGAGGCGAGUGGAAUUCCUGGUGUAGCGGUGGAAUGCGCAGAUAUCAGGAGGAACACCGGUGGUGUAGACGGCUCUCUGGACCGUAACUGACGCUGAGACACGAAAGCGUGGGUAGCAAACAGG
RNAcentral lists this ribosomal RNA (253 nucleotides) under uncultured bacterium. Its description in RNAcentral is "partial 16S ribosomal RNA". It matches the Rfam family "Bacterial small subunit ribosomal RNA", at positions 524 to 776 of the family's 1533-position model. The record is from RNAcentral.